GUACGGGAGGCAGCAGUGGGGAAUAUUGGACAAUGGGCGAAAGCCUGAUCCAGCCAUGCCGCGUGGGUGAAGAAGGCCUUAGGGUUGUAAACCCCUUUCAGCGGGGAAGAUAAUGACGGUACCCGCAGAAGAAGUCCCGGCUAACUCCGUGCCAGCAGCCGCGGUAAUACGGAGGGGACUAGCGUUGUUCGGAAUUACUGGGCGUAAAGCGCACGUAGGCGGAUUUGUAAGUCAGGGGUGAAAUCCCGGGGCUCAACCCCGGAACUGCCUUUGAUACUGCGAAUCUCGAGUCCGGAAGAGGUGAGUGGAAUUCCUAGUGUAGAGGUGAAAUUCGUAGAUAUUAGGAAGAACACCAGUGGCGAAGGCGGCUCACUGGUCCGGUACUGACGCUGAGGUGCGAAAGCGUGGGGAGCAAACAGGAUUAGAUACCCCGGU
This 435-nucleotide ribosomal RNA is filed under the name uncultured bacterium. Its description in RNAcentral is "bacterial SSU rRNA". It matches the Rfam family "Bacterial small subunit ribosomal RNA", at positions 339 to 791 of the family's 1533-position model. The record is from RNAcentral.